This 1202-nucleotide long non-coding RNA is filed under the name Homo sapiens (human). Its description in RNAcentral is "HSALNT0377861". Lineage: Eukaryota; Metazoa; Chordata; Mammalia; Primates; Hominidae. The record is from RNAcentral.
UCCCUCUCCCCCAAGUCUCGGGUGAGAUCACCACGGAGCGGCUUAGCGCGGCGCACAAGUCUCGCGAGAGAAGCGGCGGCUGGGCCCUGCAGGCGGAGGAAGUGGAAAAAGUCGCGGGAGGGUAGGGGACCGCGGAACUUCUGGUUGCUAUGACGACGGCAAAGCCCUGGAUUCCUGUCUCCUGCGGAGAGCAGAGGCUGCAAACGCAUCCGCAGACGCCUUUAUACGUACUCCAAAAUGCUAGUAAGGAUGAAGAUGAACUCUCCUCAGCCCGUGUCUUUUAACUGUAGAAACUUUUCUGAGAAAUGAAAAGAGGCUUGCUCAUGACUUGGAAGCGGUGGGCUGAGGCCUCCCAAGACCAUCUGGCUUGUUCCAUUGCCAGCCAGAGUGGAGGCGACAUUCACACGAACCCAGGAGCUGCAGGGGCGCGUGAGCUACAGCUGCCUUGUGGCAUCCAAGGAGUGCGCAACUAGUCUCACUCUGUUGCCCAGGCUGGAGUGCAGUGGCGCGAUCUCAGCUUACUUCAGCCUCCGCCUCCCGGUUUCAAGUGAAUUCUCCAGCCUCAACUUCACAAGUAGCUGGGAUUACAGGGCAUUCAAGCAGCCCUGAGGAGAGGUCCACAUGGUGAGCCACUGAGGGCCUUGCCAAGAGCCAGCACCAACGGUCCAGGUUUGGAGUGUACCACCUUGGAAGUGAAUCUUCCAGUCCAGUCAAGCCUUCAGAUGACUUCAGAACCGUCCAUGUAAGCCACUCUUGGAUUCCUGACCCACAGAAACUGUUGGAGGCAUUAUCAACAGUUUCUAACAUCACAGACAGACAAACAUGUGCCUCCUGAUUGAAAAAACAGAACAUCACCUGUAGUCUUGCCAGUGAGAUCAAACUGAAGUCCAAUUAACCUCUGGAUCCAGCUGCCAAUUUGCAGGAAAUAGAGGAGAGAAGCAUCUGUUGAACUGCACCAUGAGUAUACACUCAGCAAAGGCCAAACUGUGGAAAAUGAUACAGGUCAAACAGCCUGGAUUCUUUAACAGUAAGUGAUGUUUCUGAAGCACCAAUGAAAAUGAAGUCCUGAAGUCCUGUGCUCAAUAUGAAAUGUUGGAAGUUAGAAGAAAAAAACAAAACUUGGAUCCAAUCUCAAGGCACUUUUUGUUUAAUGGGAAGAAGUGGAUUAUUUUAAAAGCUACAAAUAAAGUUACAUAAAAGUA